GAUGAAGAACGCAGCGAAAUGCGAUAAGUAAUGUGAAUUGCAGAAUUCAGUGAAUCAUCGAAUCUUUGAACGCACAUUGCGCCCCUUGGUAUUCCGAGGGGCAUGCCUGUUCGAGCGUCAUUACACCACUCAAGCUAUGCUUGGUAUUGGGCGUCGUCCUUAGUUGGGCGCGCCUUAAAGACCUCGGCGAGGCCACUCCGGCUUUAGGCGUAGUAGAAUUUAUUCGAACGUCUGUCAAAGGAGAGGAACUCUGCCGACUGAAACCUUUAUUUUUCUAGGUUGACCUCGGAUCAGGUAGGGAUACCCGCUGAACUUAAGCAUAUCAAUAAGCCGAGGA
Molecule: unclassified non-coding RNA, 337 nt
Filed under: soil metagenome
Description: partial contains 5.8S ribosomal RNA, internal transcribed spacer 2, and large subunit ribosomal RNA
Rfam family: 5.8S ribosomal RNA (bases 1-120)
Source: RNAcentral